This 478-nucleotide ribosomal RNA is filed under the name uncultured bacterium. RNAcentral describes it as "partial 16S ribosomal RNA". It matches the Rfam family "Bacterial small subunit ribosomal RNA", at positions 28 to 523 of the family's 1533-position model. The record is from RNAcentral.
GACGAACGCUGGCGGCGUGCUUAACACAUGCAAGUCGAACGGUAAGGCCCUUCGGGGUACACGAGUAGCGAACGGGUGAGUAACACGUGGGUGAUCCGCCCUGCACUUCGGGAUAAGCCUGGGAAACUGGGUCUAAUACCGGAUAGGACCACUGCCUGCAUGGGUGGGGGUGGAAAGCAUUUGCGGUGUGGGAUGGGCCCGCGGCCUAUCAGCUUGUUGGUGGGGUGAUGGCCUACCAAGGCGACGACGGGUAGCCGGCCUGAGAGGGUGACCGGCCACACUGGGACUGAGAUACGGCCCAGACUCCUACGGGAGGCAGCAGUGGGGAAUAUUGCACAAGGGGCGCAAGCCUGAUGCAGCGACGCCGCGUGAGGGAUGACGGCCUUCGGGUUGUAAACCUCUUUCAGCACCGACGAAGCGCAAGUGACGGUAGGUGCAGAGGAAGGACCGGCCAACUACGUGCCAGCAGCCGCCGUAA